AUUGAACGCUGGCGGAAUGCUUUACACAUGCAAGUCGAGCGGCAGCGCGGGGCAACCUGGCGGCGAGCGGCGAACGGGUGAGUAAUGCAUCGGAACAUGUCCAUGUCGUGGGGGAUAGCCCGGCGAAAGCCGGAUUAAUACCGCAUACGUCCGAGAGGAGAAAGUGGGGGACCCGCAAGGGCCUCACGCGAUUGGGUUGGCCGAUGUCCGAUUAGCUAGUUGGUGAGGUAAAGGCUCACCAAGGCGAUGAUCGGUAGCUGGUCUGAGAGGAUGAUCAGCCACACUGGGACUGAGACACGGCCCAGACUCCUACGGGAGGCAGCAGUGGGGAAUUUUGGACAAUGGGGGCAACCCUGAUCCAGCCAUUCCGCGUGAGUGAAGAAGGCCU
This 388-nucleotide ribosomal RNA is filed under the name uncultured bacterium. RNAcentral describes it as "bacterial SSU rRNA". It matches the Rfam family "Bacterial small subunit ribosomal RNA", at positions 29 to 417 of the family's 1533-position model. The record is from RNAcentral.